Molecule: ribosomal RNA, 253 nt
Filed under: uncultured bacterium
Lineage: Bacteria
Description: partial 16S ribosomal RNA
Rfam family: Bacterial small subunit ribosomal RNA
Source: RNAcentral
UACGUAGGUGGCAAGCGUUGUCCGGAUUUAUUGGGUUUAAAGGGUGCGUAGGCGGUUCUAUAAGUCAGUGGUGAAAUCCGGCAGCUCAACUGUCGAUGUGCCAUUGAUACUGCAGAACUUGAGUACAGACGAGGUAGGCGGAAUUGACGGUGUAGCGGUGAAAUGCUUAGAUACCACCCAGAACUCCGAUUGCGAAGGCAGCCUACUGGAGGUUUACCGACGCUCAGGCACGAAAGCGUGGGGAUCAAACAGG